Molecule: ribosomal RNA, 479 nt
Filed under: uncultured bacterium
Lineage: Bacteria
Description: bacterial SSU rRNA
Rfam family: Bacterial small subunit ribosomal RNA
Source: RNAcentral
GGACGAACGCUGGCGGCGUGCUUAACACAUGCAAGUCGAACGAGAAUCUACUGAAAGAGUUUUCGGACAAUGGAAGUAGAGGAAAGUGGCGGACGGGUGAGUAACGCGUGAGGAACCUGCCUUGAAGAGGGGGACAACAGUUGGAAACGACUGCUAAUACCGCAUGACGCAUAGAGGUCGCAUGAUCUUUAUGCCAAAGAUUUAUCGCUGAAAGAUGGACCCGCGUCUGAUUAGCUUGUUGGUGAGGUAACGGCCCACCAAGGCGACGAUCAGUAGCCGGCCUGAGAGGGUGAACGGCCACAUUGGGACUGAGACACGGCCCAAACUCCUACGGGAGGCAGCAGUGGGGAAUAUUGCACAAUGGGGGAAACCCUGAUGCAGCGACGCCGCGUGAGUGAUGAAGUAUUUCGGUAUGUAAAACUCUAUCAGCAGGGAAGAUAAUGACGGUACCUGACUAAGAAGCACCGGCUAAAUACGUG